GACGAACGCUGGCGGCGUGCUUAACACAUGCAAGUCGAACGGAAGUAGCAAUACUUCAGUGGCGCACGGGUGAGGAACACGUAGCUCAUCUGCCCUCAAGUGUGGGAUAACGCUCCGAAAGGAGUGCUAAUACCGCAUAAGCUCCCGGAUUGCAGAGGUCUGGGAGAAAAGGAGUAAUUCGCUUGAGGAGGAGGCUGCGGCCCAUCAGGUAGUUGGUGCGGUAACGGCGCACCAAGCCGACGACGGGUAGGGGACCUGAGAGGGUCGACCCC
This 272-nucleotide ribosomal RNA is filed under the name uncultured bacterium. Its description in RNAcentral is "partial 16S ribosomal RNA". It matches the Rfam family "Bacterial small subunit ribosomal RNA", at positions 28 to 308 of the family's 1533-position model. The record is from RNAcentral.